AGAUAGAGUGAGACCAGAGAGAAGAAGUGGCCCAGGAAGUCAUAACCUCCUGUUCCUGACUUGGACUUUCUCCUUUGUCCUAUGUCUGGAGACUUCUUGGAAGCUGGAGCACACAAAUAGCUACAGCAAACUUGAGGAAUGGGCAUGAAUAGACUGGCUUCGGGGAACCUGCCAGCUUGGCCGUGUGGCCAAGGUAAUAGGCAAGCCAAGGCAGAGCUAGAGCUCAGAGCUGGAGGGGAAAUUAAAGCAGCAAAUGUAGAAACAUUAAGCCUGAAGAGGCGACGACGUUGAAUUCUAAAAUGCAGGCCAAAGCUCAGACUGCAAGCUGUCUGGCUGCUCCGGGUGUGCCCAGAAGUCAAAGUCCAGCAGGGGCAAAGGUGGAGGUGUGGUCCUGCACGUGGGGUGUUGGGGGGAUGUGGAAGAGGAGGUGCUUUAAGAUCCAGAGAUUCCAGCUGCCCUGGUGCACCCUUGGAAGAAUAAAAGGCUAGGAACUGGACAAGUCAGGCUCGAGUCCAAGCUGCCUGAGGAAUCGGGGAAAGAAUGGAGCUCAGAGUGGGAGGUCAGGGCAGUAUUUAAAAAUCCAGGAUAGCAGCAAAGCUGGCGGUGGCCCCUGACUCUGGUAAGGGCAGCCUGCAGCACCAUGCCAAGGGGGGCCUGACUGAUCAUGCCCUGCAUUUGCAAACAAGGAUUAGUAGGGUAUGAGUAGGAUUCUGCUGGUGCCUGGGAAGGCAGUGCCAUCUACAACUUUACAAAGUUUUAACAAAGGCCUGAAGGACACAACCUUCCCCAAAGUCCUGACGUCGCUGUUUGCUGGCAACAAAUAGAGUCAAAAGAAGAGAGGCACAGAAUGUGCCAGGGGUGUGCUGCGUACAGCCCCGAUGACCACAAGGCCUUCUUGGGUCAAGUUCUGCCAUCUCUGGUUAAGAUGGGCUCACCCUCUAGGACCCUGAUUGAGUCCUCGGACCACCAAGAGUGCCCCACCAAGAGCCUCCCUCUUCUGGUGACUCGUGCCUGCUUCCCGUGGAGAGCUCCAGAAGGGAGGAAACUGUGAGGAGGUGGAGAACGUGGCAGGGAUCCUAACUUUCUUACUGAAGGAAGUUCUUCACAAGUACCCAUCUGCCUUCAGGGAAGAAAACAUAACUCAUUUUGGUCUUUCAAAUUCAGUUCUCAAAACCAAAUCCUGUUGUCAGCAAUCUGUGUCCCAACGCCUUCUUCAGCAACAGCAUUUUCCCUGUGGAAUUAGUUUCCAAUGUUCUUUCUUAAAUAAACCACUGAAGAUUAAAAGGAAUCCAGAUACCCACCACAUUUUGUUUCCUUAAUGAGUAAUUAUCACAUUUCUUUGGCUACUUAAAUGCAUUCUCUGAGUCAGGUAAAGGAGAUCGUAAUAGUUAAUCAACAAGAAGUAAUUCUUGGGUACUUAACAAUAGUCUAAGCACUUAAUCAUACUUAAAAUUGACUAUUAAUGAACCUUAUAAACCAUUUUGCAAUUCUGAAAGUGAAUUUCUCUGCAGGCUUAGAGAUUACUAAGCCAUUUAGAUCUUACCAAACAAAUAUUAUUCAUGCUUUAAUUCCUGGGAAAAGAAAUUUAGAAAAUGAGGUUAAUGUUCAGUUGUCCUUUCCUGAGUUUAACAAUUAUAUAUUCCAUCUGGGAUGCUCUGAACUCAGGUUAAACAUUCUUCAAGUUAUUCCCACAUUUUUCAAGUUAUUCCCACGUUAGUGACCUACUUUAUUAGUAUUAUUACUAAAGAAAAGGGCUGGGUGCGGUGGCCCACAUCUGUAAUCCCAGCACUUUGGGAGGCUGAAGCAGGAGGAUCACUUGAGCUUGGGAGUUCAAGACCAGCCUGAGAGGGAGACUCCGUCUCUACAAAAAAAAAAAAAUUAGCCAGGUAUGGUGGCACGCGCUCAUGGGCCCAGCUACUCAAGGAGGCUGAGGUGGGAGGAUCACGUGAACCUGGGAGGCAGAGCCUGCAGUGAGCCCUGGUUGUGCCUCUGUACUCAAGCCUGAGAGACAGAGUGAGACCCUGUCUCCAAACAAUAAAGUAAAAUAAAUAAAUAAAUAAAUAAGAAUGCAAAUCAAAGACAUUAAGAAAUAGCUUUACUUUAAUGUAGGCAUUUAAGGUAAAAUAGGUCACAUUCUCUUUUUUAAAAAAAUUACUGACCCACAGAAAAACAAGUCAAAAAGCAGACUAUUUCAUAUUAGUGUCUUUUUUUUAAAGAGGAUUAAUAUAAAUUGCCUUCUCACCUGUUUUUAAAAUAAAGGACUGAAUGAUAGAACUUAGACAACAAAUCUAGUAGCAUGAUAAAAGCCUUUCUUUGAUAGCUAGAAAAGGUAAACAAAGAAUAAAACAGGGUGAAGAAGAAAGAGGACAGAUAGAAUGUGAAUAUUAUCUACCUUUUUCUCAAGAUAAAACUAAUAUUGCUUUCUAAAAAGAAGCAAUUCUUUAGAGCAGAGGUCAGCAAACUUUUUCUAUAAAGAGCCAGAUAUUAACUAUUUUAUAAUUUGCAAACCACAUAAGUCCUCUGUUUCAUAUGGGUUUUUUUCUUUUUUCUUUUUAAACAAUACUUUAAAAAUGCUGAAAAUAUUCUUAGCUUACAUCUACAAAAAAGCAGGCAGUGGGCUGAUUUGACUCACAGGUGGUAUAGCUUGCUAAUUCCUGCUUUAGAUUUUAAGAAUGAGGCAGAUGUUGCCAGAAUUUGCUCUAAUUUACUAUGAGGUUUGCAAAUAAAAGUGCUCUUGACAUGAAAACUUGCUAUUUUUAAUGGAAAGACAUGUACAGCCCUUUCUCAGGAAGUGGAGAUUAAUGCAUAAAAUUUUAUUUUCCUAACAUAAAGCAUGUUUUUUCAAAAAAUGGCUUCUCCAUCUUGUGGCCCUUUGAUUAUGAUAGCUCUGAAAGCUUUGAAAAGCUUGCAAAUACUCAACUUCAGGAAUAAAACCACCUAUGAGACCCUCACCUGAAGGCAGGAUCUUUCCUGCAGCCUUGAGUCUUCCUAAUCAGAACCAUUGUUUCGUAAACUGGACUCCGAAGACAACACUUAAAGUCACUCAAGUUCGCUACAAAAUUCUUGUUUUGUGUUUUCAUUUCUAAAGACAAUAAAAAUAAUUGAUAUGAUCAAGUUUGGGAUUAUCUAGAUGAUCUAGACAACUAUUGCGGUCAAAAUAGGCCUGAUCACAGGCAUUUUCAGUACCCAUGGAAUUCUAGAGCUUUGGAUACUUGUCUAGUCUGUUUGGGUCACUAUAACAAAAUGCCAUAAACUGGGUGCUUAUAAAGAACAGAAUUUUAUUUCCCACAGUUCUGCAGGCUGGGAAGUCCAAAAUCGAGGCAGAUUUGAUGUCCUCAAGUGAUGGAAGAAUCAAGAGGUCUCUCUGGGGGCUCUUUUAUAAGGGCACUAACCCCAUUCAUGAGAGCAGAGCCUAAUUACCUCCCUAAGGCCCCAACUCCUAAUACUAUCACCUUGAGGGUGAGGAGGGAAACAUAAAAAUACCAUAGUAAUACUAAUAGGUACAUCAGUGAAGAACAAUAUCACAGUAUCGUGUAGACAGGAAGAUUUUGCUGCAAUUUGGUUGUUAAAACAAAAAGUCGUGGGUGGAUACAAUCAUCAGACAGUUCAGAAGUGGCAUCCACGUACUCACCCAAAGGAGGUGCACUGCAGUUGUGGGAGCCCUGUGCUUGCUACUAGCAGUGACUUAAUUUCUGCAAAGCUAUGUGAUCACAUUCAACUAUGCUAGUUAACUUUAAUUUUACUGAAUUUGGUUUAGGUAGGUAGUUUGUAAAUUUAACUUUCUACUUGUAUAAGAAGUAUAAUUAUAAAAACAGCAGGUCAGCACGACAGGUCUGAGAGAAUCUGUAUUCUGUAAAAAAAUACCUAUUUCUUACUUGGCGAAAAACAUUAGUCAAUGUUGCACCAAAAACCCCCCAAAAGCUAUAGAUCAGAUAUUGACUAAAAUGAAUAUACAAAAAUCUUGACUGGAAAUAUUUUAAGUCAAAACUAACAGCCUAUUUCAGGUAUUGACAGAACAAAUUCCAGAAGCAGAAUAACUGAAACAAUCAUGUUGAAAUUAAUUAUAAUGGGCAGAAUUUGACUGAAACUUGUUACCACCUUCACCAAAAUAUAGCCUUUCUUAUACUAUCAAAUGUAUUGAAUAAAUUGUGAGCACUUUCUUGUACAACUUCUAAAAAUUUAGCUUUGCUUUUGUUAUCUGAAUAUUGUACAGGAAUAUGAGCAUGCAAAUAAGAUCUUUGUUUAGUUUCAAGUCUUUUUAUAACUAAAUCUGCUGGCAUUAGACAAUAAAUACAUUUUCAAAAUAUGAAUAGUCUCUCAUUUGAUUCAAAUUAGAUGAGUUGUUUUGCAUGUUUCUUAUCAAUUAUGCAAUUAUUGUCUUAGUUUAAAUAUAAUCUAAUAGCUGACGCUGCAUUCAUAUGCUAUGCUGGAUUCCUAGCUAAAAUGAAAUCAGUAUGCUAGUAAAAUAUUUUUCAUACAUG
RNAcentral lists this long non-coding RNA (4481 nucleotides) under Homo sapiens (human). RNAcentral's name for it is "HSALNT0337071". The record is from RNAcentral. Lineage: Eukaryota; Metazoa; Chordata; Mammalia; Primates; Hominidae.